AACGAACGCUGGCGGCAUGCCUAACACAUGCAAGUCGAACGAGACCUUCGGGUCUAGUGGCGCACGGGUGCGUACCGCGUGGGAACCUGCCCUUAGGUUCGGAAUAACUCACCGAAAGGGGUGCUAAUACCGGAUAAUGUCUUCGGACCAAACAUUUAUCGCCUUUGGAUGGGCCCGCGUUGGAUUAGCUAGUUGGUAGGGUAAAAGCCUACCAAGGCGACGAUCCAUAGCUGGUCUGAGAGGAUGAUCAGCCACACUGGGACUGAGACACGGCCCAGACUCCUACGGGAGGCAGCAGUGGGGAAUAUUGGACAAUGGGCGAAAGCCUGAUACAGCAAUGCCGCGUGAGUGAUGAAGGCCUUAGGGUUGUAAAGCUCUUUUACCCGGGAUGAUAAUGACAGUACCGGGAGAAUAAGCGCCGGCUAACUCCGUG
RNAcentral lists this ribosomal RNA (433 nucleotides) under uncultured bacterium. RNAcentral describes it as "partial 16S ribosomal RNA". It matches the Rfam family "Bacterial small subunit ribosomal RNA", at positions 29 to 507 of the family's 1533-position model. The record is from RNAcentral.